Molecule: ribosomal RNA, 500 nt
Filed under: uncultured bacterium
Lineage: Bacteria
Description: partial 16S ribosomal RNA
Rfam family: Bacterial small subunit ribosomal RNA
Source: RNAcentral
AUUGAACGCUGGCGGCAUGCCUUACACAUGCAAGUCGAACGGCAGCACGGGAGCAAUCCUGGUGGCGAGUGGCGAACGGGUGAGUAAAGUAUCGGAACGUGCCCAGUCGUGGGGGAUAACGUAGCGAAAGUUACGCUAAUACCGCAUACGAUCUAUGGAUGAAAGCGGGGGAUCGCAAGACCUCGCGCGAUUGGAGCGGCCGAUAUCAGAUUAGGUAGUUGGUGGGGUAAAGGACCACCAAGACGACGAUCUGUAGCUGGUAUGAGAGGACGACCAGCCACACUGGGACUGAGACACGGCCCAGACUCCUACGGGAGGCAGCAGUGGGGAAUUUUGGACAAUGGGCGAAAGCCUGAUCCAGCCAUGCCGCGUGCAGGAUGAAGGCCUUCGGGUUGUAAACUGCUUUUGUACGGAACGAAAAGGACUGCCCUAAUACGGUGGUCCCAUGACGGUACCGUAAGAAUAAGCACCGGCUAACUACGUGCCAGCCGCCGCAGUAA